ACGUACAAUCUGAUCUGUCAGUCUGUCACCAUCAGCUGUUUUCUUUACUCAUUUAUCUAAUUGUCUACUUGAAAUCUGUGACUUGAUACUAGACUUUUAAAAUCGCUGUAGCCCGACAAUUAAAUUAAACCUGAUCUUUCUUCCCCUACCACUUUGUUAAUCACCCCCCCCCCACAACUGAUGAUUGUCAGUACUGCCAAAUGUUUUUGGUUAUGUUUUGAUGGUGUUUUCAUUAUCAAGUAAGAAAUGAACUGUAAUUACCGAAAAUAAUUAAUAACGUAAAGAAAUAAUUCAAAAACAAUAAUUGUAGUGUCAGUUGUUGUGUUGUAAGGUAAAUAAACGCGUCUCCACGAUCAGCUGAUCGGCUUCUCGGAUUAUUGCCUGUGAAGGUGGCGCAAUUGUUGGAAAGCAGUGAAAGCACGUGUAUUUCAUUUGUCGAGUGUGUCGAGCUACACGUCAUUUUCAAAGGGGAAGUUUUAAGAAGUCUCUUGAUCUAGGUUCACGAAAGCGAGAAAAAUCAUGCCAACAAGAUUUGAAGACAUUCUAAAGGACUUGAAAUUAGACUCUAAGGAUAGACAAAUACUUGAAUUGUGCCAUAAGCAUGAGUUGGAGUUGGAGUUACUAAAAAAAGGCAAUGAGUUGGAGUUACUAAAAAAAGACCAUGAGCACCAACUUGAUAAGCUGAAAACAGAACUUUCAGCUGCCAACUGGGAAAACUUAAAACAUUUGAAACUCGUGCAAGUAAGAAGUUUCAUUGACUCGUUCGAUAAUGUCAAAAAGUUGGAUCAAAAUAUUUCAAGAAAAGUUAGAUUUACAAAAUUUGCUAAGGAGAAUGAAGACCGAUUGAAGUCAUGGAACUUAUCAACUGAAUCUUUUUGUCAAAUCUUUCAACACUUGUACGUCAAAUUGUGCGACUCCGCUCACCCUGUAUUCACCACUGAAGACACACUGGAAAUAGGGGGGUCGCACCUGGAAGAUAAAGAAAUUCGAAUAAUCGGAUUUUUAUGGGAAAUGUACCCACUGCCGCCAGGAAAAUUAUUAAUUAGAAUAAUGGAUAAAUCAGAAAGUGUUGAAGUUAUGAAAAUAAAAACCGAAUUAUAGAGAUAUAAGGUUUUUCAUGUGAUUCAAAAAAUUAUUCAUUACCUAUUUAGUAAAAAAAAAGGAUUAUUAAUUUAUUAUAGUUUCCAAUUGAUUUAUUAUUAAUAAUUGACAACGAAAAGGAUUAAUAUCCAAACGGUAUUGUGUCAAAGUUUUUUAGAAUAACUCUCUUAUCAUAAACAACACCAAAUUCUUUUGUUUCUAUUUUAUUUAAAAGUUCUUUAGUUUUAGUAUCUCUGGUAAUUCGAUUAUACUGUGGGUGGUGUUAGAAAGUAUGGUGCUCCAACUCCCUUCAUUUGUUUUAAACUGGAACGAACUGACGAGGUCGGGAACCAUUUCAUACAUUGGCCAUUAGAUAGCGCUUUUUGAAUUUGAUGUAAAGGUAUCCUUAUUACCGAUCACAAUUUUGAAUUUCAAAAAUGCUUCAAAUUUGAUUUCAGUGACAGUAGCAUUUUGGCAGAUAAGAUUCAAUUUACUGAAAAAAGGAAGAUAGUGAUACUAUUAUCGGUCUUUAAUUGAGUGACGGGCACAUCAAACUGAUAUUUUGUGAUGAUUUGUGUUUUCAGUGUAAUUUUAAUACACUUGUGUAUGUAAAAUUUUCACAAGAAGUGGCUCCCAAAGACAAGUUCACACACUUACAUACGUAAGAGACUUACACCCAAUUGUAAUUAAUUUCUUCCUGUAGUUUUGAAUAAAAAUAUUAAUAACUUUAUUAAUUACUAUGAUUUCUUAUUUUAUACGAAAUUACUACGAAGAAAUAUAAAAAUAAAACAACCCUGGCCUUUUGAAGUAAGUUAUUAAAACAGAUUUCAUAUUUAUAGUAAUUGCUAUUAAAAUAUAAUUAUGUAUAGAGUUGUCUGCUAUCAUUUGUAAGUGAAGUUGUGUAGAAGUCAUAGUCAAAAGUUGCAGCAGAGAAGUUUAUUAAAGGUUUGCAAAAUGCCUAAAACAUGCUGCAUAUGUUUAUCUUCAAAAGGAGAAAGUAAAAACUCAACAUUCUUCCCUAUCCCGAGAGUAUAAAUUAGAAGGUGUUUAUUAUUUUGAAAUGUUAUGUCCUUUGUAGAGCAAUGAAGACUUAAAAAAGUGGGAAUAUAUUUUAAAACGAGAAAUCCCCACAGUAGGAUAUAUUUGUCAUCAACACUUUGAUGAAAAUUAUUUAAUACGACAAGCACGGAGGAUUAUGCUUAAUAAACAAAAAAUUUAUUCGUAAGUCAAAAGUAUUAGAAUUCCAAAUAAAAUUAUUGAUCAUUCUUAAAAAAAUACUGUAAUUAAGCUCAUCAUUUAAUCAAUACAUUUACUUGGAAGCUUAUAUAUUUUCAAUAAAUCUUUAUUACAUUUUAAAACCUUUUAUAUCUCCUUAAAGUGUUGAAUUAGAGUUUCAAAGUUAUACACCAGUCGUCCGUGAUGGUGAUGAACACCAUGGUGAACAUGUUAAAAACACAACAGAGUAUAAUCAAUUUUCCAAUCCUCCUGCAUUGUCUAACAUUCAAGUGAUAACAGAUAGUAAUUCAAAUAUUUGUGGUAC
RNA transcript from Tribolium castaneum (red flour beetle), 2620 nucleotides. RefSeq lists it as uncharacterized. NCBI's taxonomy places the organism in Eukaryota, Metazoa, Arthropoda, Insecta, Coleoptera, Tenebrionidae. The transcript has 5 exons. The record is from RefSeq and is a predicted model, not a curated record.